RNAcentral lists this long non-coding RNA (791 nucleotides) under Gallus gallus (chicken). RNAcentral's name for it is "long non-coding RNA NONGGAT007136". Lineage: Eukaryota; Metazoa; Chordata; Aves; Galliformes; Phasianidae. The record is from RNAcentral.
GAGAAUUGUGUGCUCCAGAAGAGCUGGAAGCUACCAUGCUUCCUCUGUGCUUGCUUCUUCCUGCUACCUGCAUGGAGGCAGCAGUGUGCUUGGGCACUUCCCCUUCAGCGUGGUGCCUGCCUCCUUCCAUGUGCCAGAAGAACAAGGCUGUGUGCCCUGCAGAGGAUGAUCACCUGCUAAUAAGAAAAAAGCGAUUUUAGGAGCUUUUUCCAGACAACCGUACUGCAAAACUUCUGAAGGGAACAGCCAGAAACCAUCCUUUGAUUGCUGUGUGCUUUACCUCUUUGAAUUAAGUGAGCUGAUAUUACACACUAACAAGGAGUGACUUUCAUCUAUAAAAGAAAAUCCUCACAAACCAGGUGAGCUCCGUCAGUCCUGCAGUGUCCAGUCCUUUGUAUUCAUGUGGAGCCCUGGUUCUCAGUCGAGGCUUACAAAUGAACAGUACUUGAGUAAGGAAGUGAGGUUGAGGAGUUGCCACUGGUUCAGGUUUGUGUGUGGUUCCUCCAAUGCAUUUCUGGUUGUGAAUUUACUUCCCUCCAGCUGUGACAAUACCAAAGUAAUUCUAAAUGUCAGGGUUGUUCCUGUAACUGCAUAUAUUGCUAAUUGAAGUUACCUAGUUAGGUAUAUAACUGCUUUGCACUGAGCUUUCCUGGCCGUAGCCCAGGGUCAUCUUGCUAAGCGUUAUGGAUGACUUGCUGUUCAGAGAGUCUGAAUAAGUAAAGCUCAGUUUGCGGAAGGAGGUCUCUACGCCGCUGUCACAUGUGCUUUCAGGGUCUUGAAAUUUGUGAUUG